UGGGGAAUAUUGCACAAUGGGCGCAAGCCUGAUGCAGCCAUGCCGCGUGUGUGAAGAAGGCCUUCGGGUUGUAAAGCACUUUCAGCGAGGAGGAAGGUGGUGAGCUUAAUACGCUCAUCAAUUGACGUUACUCGCAGAAGAAGCACCGGCUAACUCCGUGCCAGCAGCCGCGGUAAUACGGAGGGUGCAAGCGUUAAUCGGAAUUACUGGGCGUAAAGCGCACGCAGGCGGUUUGUUAAGUCAGAUGUGAAAUCCCCGGGCUCAACCUGGGAACUGCAUUUGAAACUGGCAAGCUAGAGUCUCGUAGAGGGGGGUAGAAUUCCAGGUGUAGCGGUGAAAUGCGUAGAGAUCUGGAGGAAUACCGGUGGCGAAGGCGGCCCCCUGGACGAAGACUGACGCUCAGGUGCGAAAGCGUGGGGCAGCAAACAGGAUUAGAUACCCUGGUAGUCCACGCUGUAAAACGAUGUCGAUUUGGAGGUUGUGCCCUUGAGGCGUGGCUUCCGGAGCUAACGCGUUAAAGUCGACCGCCUGGGGAGUACGGCCGCAAGGUUAAAACUCAAAUGAAUUGAC
This 570-nucleotide ribosomal RNA is filed under the name uncultured bacterium. RNAcentral describes it as "partial 16S ribosomal RNA". It matches the Rfam family "Bacterial small subunit ribosomal RNA", at positions 355 to 914 of the family's 1533-position model. The record is from RNAcentral.